This 562-nucleotide small RNA is filed under the name Pongo abelii (Sumatran orangutan). RNAcentral's name for it is "retained intron". Lineage: Eukaryota; Metazoa; Chordata; Mammalia; Primates; Hominidae. The record is from RNAcentral.
AUUCCUCACAAUAACCAGAUAGCCUCUGCUUUCUUUUUCCUUUCUUCGGAAUGAGAGACUCAACCAUAAUAGAAAGAAUGAAGAACUAUUAACCACCUUUCUUCAGUGGGCUGUGAUUUUCAGAGGGGAAUACUAAGAAAUGGUUUUUCGUACUGGAACUCAAAGGUAAAGACACUCAAGGACAGACAUUUUUGGCAGAGGUAAGAUCUUCUUUGGUCACCAUACUUGAGUUAGCCCUGGGGAAGUGGACAUUUCCAUGCAGAAUCCUAAAGCUUCUUCCAGGCCAUAGUGUCUGUCCUACACCUUCUGGUGUCUCUUGAUAUGCAGGAGAGAUGAAAAUGGCAAGUUCCCUGGCCUGCCUUCUGCUCAACUUUCAUGUCUCCGUCUUCUUGGUCCAGCUGCUCACUCCUUGCUCAGGUAGGGAAUGAUUCCACGAUUCCACAUUUAUGUUUCUGAAGCAGACAAUUAUCUCAAUUACCUAAUUAAGCAGACAAUUACCUAAAUGCCCUCUUAGAACCUUUAACUCAUUCCCAUACCUGGAAGUCCAUCCCAACCUGAAGGA